GAUAGAUAGAUAGAUAGAUAGAUAGAUAGAUAGAUACAAUAGAUAGAUAGAUAGAUAGAUAGAUAGAUAGAUAGAUAGAUAGAUAGAUAGAUAGAUAGAUAGAUAGAUACUGCUACUUACAGAUAGAUUGAUAGACAUUCAUAAAGAAAGACAGACAGAUAGAUAGAUAGAUAGAUAGAUAGAUAGAUAGAUAGAUAGAUAGAUACUGGUACUUACAGAUAGAUUGAUAGACAUCCAUAAAGAAAGACAGACAGAUAGAUACAAUAGAUAGAUAGAUAGAUAGAUAGAUAGAUAGAUAGAUAGAUAGAUAGACUUAUAGAUAGAAAGCAAUAGAGAAGAAGGGAGGGAGAGCCACUGAGAAAAGGGGUGAAGAGAAGGGGGGAGUGAGAAUGAAGCAUAAGGGACAGUAUAGAGAAGAAGGGAGAUAGCCAGAGACAAUAAGGGAGGACAGUAGGUCAGACACAAAGGAACAUCCAUAGAGAAAGGGAGGACGAUCCAAGUAAGAAACCUUAAAAAGAUUGAAGGGAGAACCAGGCUUGGAGAAGAAAGUGCAACUCAUAUAAAACUGCUCCUCAUAGAUUACAGUUUUCAUCAAACGUCCUAUUCAUAAGAACUCUGGGCUGCAAUAGAUAGUAAAUGACCACAUCACAUAGCACUGGUGGAUAAUUAUGGACUUCCCUUUAAUGUCUUGUGAACUUGAGUAUUUAAGAGUUAAGGACAUAAACAGCUGUGCUGAAUGCCAAGACAUACAUGGAAAAAACUUGAGAGAAACUAGAUCCUCUCUCACACCUUCUUAGCUAUACGAGAAGGAGACUGUGCGACCUCUAAUCUGUCAGCGCCGCACGCAAGACUAGAAGCUUAGUUACAAAGCCGUAGUUACUGCCGGCCAGAAGAGUCUAAAGUAUACAGCUGUCACCACCACAUGUGAGGAAUGUAGCCGUUCCUCAAAACACUUAUUUCUAUUAAAAGACCUAAAGGGUGUAAUUAUUUACAGUGGUCUCCUACAUAUAUCGGAGUGUUUGCUAAUGUUUCUCAGUACUGUACUAUGAUACCACCUCUCUAUUUCAGUAAAGGUGACAUUUCUUAUGUCCUUGGAGGCUUCUAGGAGGACUAAGAAAACACACUGCAUAUGUACAGAGUAAAACAAUAAAUAUCAUGGGGAACAAAGAACACAACAAAUUCAUAACAAAAAAUAAACAUAGGGUUCCAUUUAUUAAACAGUCGAUGCUCCUUCGGAGCCCCAUCGUUUCUGACUCGCCUGAAACGGAAGUUAAAGGGUCAUGAUACCCAAAUGUUUAAACACUUGAAAGUGAUGCAGCAUAGCUGUAAAAAGCUGACUAGAAAAUAUCACCUGAACAUCUCUAUGUAAAAAAGAGAGAUAUUUUACCUCAAAAAUUCCUAAGUAUUUAAACCCCAUUGCAAAGGACUUUAAGCAACAAAUCAGUAUGUCUGUCCCGGGACAGCUAAGGGAGUGAGCACUUAUGUUAUUUCCCUAUUCAGUUUAAGGAAGUUUACUAUGAAAUCUCAUGAGAGUUAAGUGAAAUCUCAUGAGAUCACAGUAAGAGUUCAUGACCUCAGCACUGCUGAUGCUGAUUGCCUGCUGUUCAUUUCUUCAUUUAAAAAAAAAAAAAAAUUACCUGCAGCUGGGCAGCAAAGUAUAUUUUUUUACACAGAACUUACUCUGCUGAGCUGAGGAAAUUGUGAGGUUUAAUAUCUUCUUUUUUUACAUAGAGAUGCUCAGGUGAUAUUUUCCUGUCAGCUUUUUACAGUUAUACUGCAGCAGUUUCAAGUGAUUUAGCAUAUGAGUAUUAUGUACCUUUAAGAAGCAGCCGUCAAAAGACUGCUGCUCCUUAAAGGAAUAGUAAACCCAAAUAUUUUCUUUCAUGAUUCAGAUAAAGCAGGCAAUUUUAAGCAACUUUCUAAUUUACUCCUAUUAUCAUUUUUUCUUCGUUCUCUUGGUAUCUUUAUUUGAAAAAGCAGGAAUGAAAGCUUUGGAGCCAGCCUAUUUUUGGUUCAGUACCCGUAAUAGGGCACCAAGAGAACGAAGAAAAAUUGAUAAUAGGAGUAAAUUAAAAAGUUGCUUAAAAUUGCCGGCUCUAUCUGAAUAAUGAAAGAAAAUAUUUGGGUAUACUAUCCCUUUAACUUGUCCGCCACAAUUAAGGUAGCAAAUUGAAAUCACCCCGAUCCGAUCGGGAUGAUUGACAGCCCCUGCUAGUGGCUGAUUGGCCGCCAGUGAUCAGGGGGCAGCAUUGCACAAGUAUUUCACCAGAAAUGCUUGUGCAAUGUUAAAUGCUAGCUGCGUAUGCUGUCGGCAUUUAGCGAGGUCGAGCGGACAUGAUUCGCUACAUCGAAUCAUGUCCGCUUGACUAAUAAUAGACUAAUGACUAAUAAAUCUACCCCAUAGAGCAAUGAAAAAACUAUUCAUGAAGUUUAAAGGUUCAUAAAAAUAAGUAUUGGAGUGUGAAACAAAUAUUUCGGGCUAGAGUUGGAGCGCAAAAUUACAUGCGCUGGUGUUGGGGUUAAAAUGAGCCUUUACGGGCACAACUGUAAUUCUACUCAUAUUACAAGUGAAAAGUAAAUGUGAUUGGGCAGUUGCAAUUGCGGUUUGCACUUUGGUUAACACCGCUUCUAAAAAGCAUCUAAAAAGUGUAAAAAAAAAAAACAUCAAUAAUACAAUGUACAGUACCGUAAAACUCAUAUUAACACUAGCUAAUAAAAAGUAUUUAAUAAUAAUUUGACAUGGAGAAGUUAUAAGGGGUCAAAGUUAGGAGAUGUGUUAGCAAAAAUCAGGCAGAAAGUGCCUUUACAUAGGAAUCCAUUGCAACAACUUUAUUAGCACAGUAAACGCUUGAACGUAAGCGUUAAUUAGCGCUCCACUUGUAAUCUGGCCUACGAUGUUCUAAUGCCGUGAAGGUCACUUUUCUAACACAUGGGGGCCACAGAUUUGUAUUUUAGAAGCCUCAAGGGCUGCAUAAAAAUUUACGGCUACACACAAAUAAAAAGUAGUGCUUUGCUGCUCUUAAGCAUACCAAGGUAUUCUGUUCAACAAAGGAUAGCAGGAGAACGAAGAAAAUUAUAUAACAGAAGUACAUUGGUAAGUGGUUUAAAAUCACAUGCUCUAUGUGAACAUUAAAAAAAAAAUAGGUUUAAUUUCCCUUUAAGAGAUUUGAACAGGGGGAAUUAUCUGCAUAGAAGACAUGUAUGUUUGUUGGGUUAUUGAGAUUGCCAAUUUUUAUUAGUGCAAAAGUUCUUCAUGUUCAUUUUUUCUUUAACGGUAGCGUUUGUAUCUGUUUGGAUGACUGUGCUCUCUGAUGUCAUCCAAUAUGGCGGGGUAAUUUCAGUGGUGCAAAACCAAUGUUACAUUUGGCAGUUUUGGGGUACUUGUGUUGUUUGGGGUUUAUCAAGUUCUCUUAGCUGUUUAAUUUGAAAAUCGUAAUUGUGUCAUUAAGUGCCAAGAAUUUAGACUGUGAUCAGAAAACCAUUGUAGGCCAAUUUUUCACCAAAAUGACAAUGAAAAAAAUUACUGCUGCUAAACAAUGAAAAUUGCUAAUUGUGAUUGUAUCGACAUAGAAAACAGCCAAUUGUCAGCCAUUGACAUGCCAAUAUUAUCAAACUAUAGGUUGUGUAAUCGCCCCCACAGUUACAUGAAAGCAUUUGUACAAUAAUAAAAGACUAAAAUGCAUUAAAGGAUCUUAUGUGCAUAA
Molecule: long non-coding RNA, 3704 nt
Organism: Bombina bombina (fire-bellied toad)
Lineage: Eukaryota; Metazoa; Chordata; Amphibia; Anura; Bombinatoridae
Exons: 2
Source: RefSeq, a predicted model, not a curated record